CCUACGGGAUGCACCAGUGGGGAAUCUUGGACAAUGGGCGAAAGCCCGAUCCAGCAAUAUCGCGUGAGUGAAGAAGGGCAAUGCCGCUUGUAAAGCUCUCUCGUCGAGUGCGCGAUCAUGACAGGACUCGAGGAAGAAGCCCCGGCUAACCUCGUGCCAGCAGCCGCGGUAAUACGAAGGGGGCUAGCGUUGUUCGGAAUUACUGGGCGUAAAGCGCGCGUAGGCGGAUAGAUAAGUCAGAGGUGAAAUCCCGGGGCUCAACCCCGGAAUUGCCUUUGAUACUGUUUAUCUUGAGUGCAGAAGAGGUAAGUGGAAUUCCGAGUGUAGAGGUGAAAUUCGUAGAUAUUGGGAAGAACACCGGUGGCGAAGGCGGCAACCUGGCUCGAUACUGACGCUGAGGCGCGAAAGCGUGGGGAGCAAACAGGAUUAGAUACCCCUGUAGUC
RNAcentral lists this ribosomal RNA (444 nucleotides) under uncultured bacterium. RNAcentral's name for it is "bacterial SSU rRNA". It matches the Rfam family "Bacterial small subunit ribosomal RNA", at positions 338 to 795 of the family's 1533-position model. The record is from RNAcentral.